UGGAGCGAUUUCGACAAAUUUUCUUUUAAUCGAAAGGUGGUGUGUGCCAAUUGGUCCCAUUUAAAUUUAUUUGAGAUCUAACAACUACUUUUCGAGCUAUAUCUAAUAAUGCGUUUUUACUUGACGCUUUUUUCGUCUACCUACGUUGUAUUAUACCGCAUAACUUUCUACUGGAUGUACCGAUUUUAAUAAUUCUUUUUUUUUUGGAAAGAAGAUAUCCCUAGUUUAGUACCAUGAUAAGGAAACCAGGAUCUGAUGAUGGGAUCCCAGAGAAAUCGAGGGAACUUCUCGAAAAUCCGCAA
Molecule: unclassified non-coding RNA, 302 nt
Filed under: Melitaea cinxia (Glanville fritillary)
Lineage: Eukaryota; Metazoa; Arthropoda; Insecta; Lepidoptera; Nymphalidae
Description: misc RNA ENSMCXG00005005315.1
Source: RNAcentral